GUAGGUGGCAAGCGUUGUCCGGGAAUUAUUGGGGCGUAAAGCGCGCGCAGGCGGUUCUUUAAGUCUGAUGUGAAAGCCCACGGGCUCAACCGUGGAGAGUCAUUGGAAACUGGAGAACUUGAGUACAGAAGAGGAAAGCGGAAUUCCACGUGUAGCGGUGAAAUGCGUAGAGAUGUGGAGGAACACCAGUGGCGAAGGCGGCUUUCUGGUCUGUAACUGACGCUGAGGCGCGAAAGCGUGGGGAGCAAACAGGAUUAGAUACCCUGGUAGUCCACGCCGUAAACGAUGAGUGCUAAGUGUUAGGGGGUUUCCGCCCCUUAGUGCUGCAGCUAACGCAUUAAGCACUCCGCCUGGGGAGUACGGCCGCAAAGGCUGA
RNAcentral lists this ribosomal RNA (376 nucleotides) under uncultured organism. Its description in RNAcentral is "partial 16S ribosomal RNA". It matches the Rfam family "Bacterial small subunit ribosomal RNA", at positions 527 to 897 of the family's 1533-position model. The record is from RNAcentral.